UAUCAUUACAAAAUCACAUGCAAAGAUAUGUGUUCCUCAAAAUUGCAUUAGUAAGAAUAUCAUCACUGUUUAAAUAUCAAGGCAUGAACACAAAUAAAUUUCAAUUCGAGUUUCACUCCAAUUACAGGUUCUUCAAACAGUAACUUUUUACAUAAACGAAAACAGAAAAUUUCAAGAAAUUUGUUGUACAGGCAGCAAUGAUUAACAGAUGAUGUGACAAAUCUAACAGUUAAUCUCUCAAUCAUGUUAUAAGUACAAAAUUUUUUGACAGAAAAUUCUUACAGACAACACAUUUUGUCACGUCAAUAUCGGUACACAUUCCAUUAAAUUUUUCGUGUACUUGGAGCUUUAUUCUUAAUCUCUGGACCAAGUUUAGGAAGAUCCACUAAAGCUUAUCUCCAUGCCUCUUCCACCUAUUCCCGCAAUAUAACA
This 432-nucleotide long non-coding RNA is filed under the name Olea europaea subsp. europaea. The record is from RNAcentral. Lineage: Eukaryota; Viridiplantae; Streptophyta; Magnoliopsida; Lamiales; Oleaceae.